GACGAACGCUGGCGGCGUGCCUAACACAUGCAAGUCGAACGAGAGCACCCGUUCCUGGCCCUGGUGGAGCGAGGGGCAAGGGGGUGAGUAACACGGGGGUAACCUCCCCAGCGGAGGGUGAUAAGGUCAGGGAACGAAUGCUACAACAGCAUAUCUAUUCAAAAAGCAGGGGUUGAUGAGGGAAAGAGGCACUAGCUUCGGCCGAUGGCUGGACCGGCGGUUGAUGAGCUAGUUGCUGAGGUAACGGCCUACCAAGGCCGCGAUGGAUAGCAGAUCUGAGAGGGCGACCGGCCACACUGGGACUGAGACACGGCCCAAACUCCUACGGGAGGCAGCAGUAGGGAAUCUUACGCAAUGGACGAAAGCCUGAUGCAGCAACGCCGCGUGAGUGAAGAAGGUCUUCGGAUUGUAAAACACUGUUGUCCGGGAAGAAGUAGUGGUCGAUUAUCUGUUCGGGUCAUGACGGUACCUAAAGAGAAAGCCCCGGCUAACUACGUG
Molecule: ribosomal RNA, 498 nt
Filed under: uncultured bacterium
Lineage: Bacteria
Description: partial 16S ribosomal RNA
Rfam family: Bacterial small subunit ribosomal RNA
Source: RNAcentral